UGUCUCUCUCUGCUUCUUCAUAAUUUCAGUCCAUUUUUUCAUGCCACGGGACCACCUCAGCCCUCAAUCCUCCUGGCCUUUCAAUUGAAGGGUCCAGCAUCCUCUGACUAAUUCGCUGUUUCUCUCCAGUUCCAGAAAGAGAGAACCUUGUUGACUCGGCCCACCCUAGGGGUUGGUUCCGUCUUCGGUCUGCUGUGGUCCAGUCAGUUGUGGGUAGGAUGCAGGGCGGGGCAUGCACACACAUGUGCCUGCUGAAGCCCACAUCUAGAAUGACCACCUCAUCCUGGUUUGCCUGAAACUUUUCUGGUUUUAGCACUGUAGGUCUCACAGACCCCAAACCCUCACAGUCCCGGGCAAACCCAAAUGGCUGCUGACCGAAUGCCUCCUCCUCAGCGACACCUGUGUGUUUGUAGAGCUGAGUGGGUCAUUUGUAAGAGGGGCAUUGGGGCACAUCCAGCACAACGCUUUGACUCUCAGAGUAAAUCAGAUUGGUAAUUGCAUUCAAGACUGCAGUUCCAAAAGCAUGAUCCAUGCUUGCUGGGCACUGUGUGCCCAGCGCCAUGAUGUAAGACAGCUGUUAGGCAUGGACCUUGGGAAUACACAACAGUGAACACCAAAAGAAAGGCUGUGUACAAAAGAUCUAAACCCAGUGGCUGGAAUCUGGUGGCCCACAGGACAAGCUCAGUUGUCAGCAAGGUGGGGUCAUAGGAUUUGUGUUUGAAUGCUUCUCAGGGUGUCCCGGCUCCACCUCUUUAUCUUCCACGUGCGCUCUCCACACAAGAUCCGGGAAGGUACCUCGAGUUUGUAAUCCCUGACCUAGAGAGUAUUGUGAGUACCACUGCUUCUUCUGGUGGUGAGAGAAAGAAAGGUUAAGUUCAGGAGUUGAGAAAUAUUGCCAGCUGCAAAAUGAUCACUGGUGCAUUGGAAAAAUUGGGUAUAACUGAAGUGCGUAACAUGAGUGAUUAGUUAAUAACACUUAUUGAACAUCACUGGUACUUAAAACAAGGGGGAAUUCCUAGGAAAGGUUAGAACUGGCAUGGAGGAAACCAUUAGAAAAUUUACAAAUCUGUGAAGAUUUGUGUGUCCCCAGAAGCAAACCCCAGGAUAGGAUGUGAGUGGAACCGUUCAACGGGAGGUGAUCCCAGGCCCCCUGUAGGGAGUCGGAACCUGACCAGGGAAGAAAGCCAGUAACAGGUACGCCAGCCUGCUGCCCCUGGGAAGUCUGGGAGAGAGUAGACGGAGGCUUGGAGCUCUCCUUCGGAGGAGGGAGUGCAGGGUGGGUAUUUCUUCACCAACCCCUGUCAGCCAUGGGGUGAGAGCUGCUCCCUGGGGACAUAAAAUCCCUGACACCUCCAGCCUACCCCAAAGGAAGCCCUGAAGUAAAUAACGCAGCUGCUGGCAGUUGACAUUCAGGCUGAGUUCUCUGGCCUGGUGCCUGCUGAGGGUGUGGGUCCAGCAUGUUCUCGCACACACACAUGCUCUGUGUCACUGCACUACUCAGAUCUUACAGAGACAUCAAAUGUCUGUCCCAAAAGGCAGGCAGUUUGGGAUAUUAGACUUUGUCAGUCAGAGUUCCUGGUUGUGGAGCAUCAGAGUUGCCUCCAGCUGAGGGAAGCAGAAAAGGAAUUUAUUACUGAGUAUUAGGUGGCUCACAGACUGGGAGAGUUAGGGGUCGGCCCCACCACAGGAUGCUCCAAUGAAGAUGCCACUGUCCCUCUGCCGGGCCAGACUCCGCAUCUCACAGAGCCAUCACUGGGCACUAUCCCAGCAGUCUCCCGGGUGGAAAUGUAUGAAGACCACGCAAAGGAGAACAAGCAGGGGCUAUCUAUUCAAAGCGCUGCAGCAAGGGCGUCAGCCACCAUCACUCGCAUUUGGCAGUCAGGGGAAUGGGGAGGCUGUAAGGUGAUGAACAGGGAAGCUGCAGGUGUUCCCGCUGGAGCUGCGGGGCAUCCCAUGUGACUGGUUAGAGGAGCAUGUGUGGCUUUCUCAGGUUGGUCCUGAGUUGGAAGCAGAGGCAGAAAUUGGGGAAGCUGGUACUUAUUGACCAAGUCCUGACCAUUUGGGGCCGAGUUGCUGCAGUUUGUGGUUUGGCUUCCUGGGGGCUGGUGGUGCAGAGGUUGUGGGUCAGAGUUCUAUGUCCAUUUGUAUCUUGAGUCUCGCACGCCGAAAGCUAACGCCUCUGCUGUCGCCCCCUCCAGUCGGAGUCCAGCGGCGCCUGCUUCCUGGCAUUGCUGUCUUCUGAAGGGACUCCUGCUCCUGCUGGAGAGACCAGAUCAAAGGCCUGGCCUCAGCGGGGUGCUUGGCUCUUCCCUGGGGUGGGUCCUCCAAGAGAAUGAGGGGUUGAGAGAUGCUGGGCAGCCACACAACAUGACCAGCGUUCACCGCGUAAGCACAGCCAGUGAGCAGAGAGGCUCACGACAUCGGAGAGUAGACCAGGAGGGUUUCCUGAAUCAAUGGAUAAAAAGAGAAAUGAUUCCAGGGUACAUUUUCCUGCAGGGGGUGGAACUUACGCCUAUUCUUGCAGAGAAAGUACAGAAAGUUUAAAGAAGAGCUGGAAAACCCUCUUCAUCUCUCCACCAAACACAGCCCUUGUUACCAUUUCAACACAGUGGGCUUCUUUGGUCUUUUUCACGUUGUUGAAAUAACGCCGUACACACAACUUCAUAUUCUGCUUUGUGGUUUAACUCUGCGUCAUAAGCAUUUCACCACUUUUCUAAAACUCUUUGUAAACAGCAUUUUAUGACGUCAUGCUACUCCAUUGUGUGGCUGUGUAGACGUAAUUUAGGCAGCUGUUCCCAGAAUGUCAGCUAUUCAGAUUGUCUCUCAUUUUGUUGCUAUUAUGAGUAUAAAUCCCAUCUUCAUUUCUAAGUGGGAGAGAGAUUCAGGAGGGAAUUACUAAGCAGUGGGCAUGAAUGUUUUGCUUUUCUUGACCCGUGGUGCACAGGACUAUGUGAACAGACAGGGGGUGAAGCCCCUGUGGUCGUCUUUCCCCCACCCGUCUCUCUUUCUGUAGGCACGGCUUUCACCAGGAGAGCGGGACAGGGGCACAGAGGACAAGCUGAAGAAAUACACACUCAGGACGGAGAGGCUUUCUGAAGAGCUGUCCUAGAUGCCUCCUGGCUUGGAUUAUACUAUGAAACGGUUUAUUGUCUGCUGAGGCGCCCUGCAAGUGUACAGGAGAGACUUUUUGCUAGCUGUGGUUUGGAAAGAGAGCAGAGCAACUCAUCCUGAUUCUGAAUAAAGGAUGGUAACAUUUUAUGGUAAAUAUAAUGGCAGGCAACCAUGAUGCUCUGUUUUUUAAUUGCAGUGAAAAAUCGAUGGGCUAGUCUCUUUUACAAAUGCAUAUCCCAGUAUCGACAUGGAGGCGGGGCUUCAGAAACGUCAGUGGCCCAUCAGAGUCACCCAAAGGGCUCGUGAAAACAGAUUCCUGGGCCCCACCCCAAGGAUUCGGAUUUGCAUUUCUAGUGAGUUGCUGGUGCAGUUGGUCCUGGGGACCACACUUUGGGGCUUUGUUAAAUGUGAUAUAAAGAACUAUAAAGAGAGGAAUCUUAGGUGCCUUCAAACAAUGUAACUUGAGAAAAGGGGCUCUUGAGGCUCACUACCCGCUCGACCCUGAGCGACGGUUACUGUGCGUCGUUGGACUCAGUGUUUGUCUUCUUGUGGCUUUUUUCACUUAGCAUAAUGUCCUCAAGAUUCACCCAUGCUGCAGCAUGUCUCAGGAUUUCUUUCCUUUUCAAGGCUGAAUAAUAUUCCACAUGCCACAUUUUGUUUAUCUGUGCAUCCGUCAAUGGACACGUGGGUUGCUUCUACCUCUUGGCUGUUGUGGAUAGUGUUGCUAUGAACAUGGGUGUGCACACAGAGAGAGCUCUUUCUAAGGGUCUACAAGGAGAGCCUGCAGCACCUGCCUGGCCAUUGUGCACACCCGUGCCUGCAGCCAGGUGGCAGAUACCUCUGACAUCUGCUUUGCGCUCCAUGGGUCCCCUUCUGCCUUCCUGUGGCUCUGCUGGACAGUCCCAAGGGAGCUCAGCCUCACCAACAUCACCACCCAGUCACCCACCUUCUGCCCCAGGCCCUUCUCAUAGGCCACAGGGGCUGGCUUGGCUUGGAAGUGCAGGACAGUUAACACCCAAAACAACUCUCAGCCAAUGGGCUCUAGUUGGUGGACAAUGCCAGGUCUUGCAUCCUUCCAGUGGGCAAAUCUGGAAGGCAUUCAGCUUCCCAGAGAUACCAGGAGAGCUGAGGGAUCUGGAUAACGCGCCCUUAGAUUUGUGGGUCGUCCUACCCUGUCUCACUCUCCCUGCCCCUUCUCACCUGCUUCCUGGGAUGGCCUCCAGGUAAACACCUGCUCCCAAGUCCUUGCCUCUGGGUGAUCCUGAUACCUCUGAAGUCUCAGAAUGUCUGCUUUAUACUGAUGACUGGUUUGAAUAAAAAUGGCUUUCCCUUACCUUGACCUCAGCUUCUGCAUGGGGGGAGGCGGAGGUCCCCCGCCCUCUGUCCCUGAUGCUUGCUCUCUACCCCUCCUCACUGGUCGCCCCUGGGAAAGAAAAGACCAUAAGCCCCUAUUUCAUAUGGACGAUCCCCACAAAUGUGAGCUUCUUCUUCAAGAAUGGGAGACAGCCUCUAAACAGUACAGCACUUGCUACCUAGACAUAAGACUGACAACAAAGCCUCAAUGAACUUAUGUUUUUCCUUCCAGUCAUUAUUCAGUAAGGAUUUGCCUGCCGCUGGUGAGCUUGUAAGCCAGGCCUGGCGGUCUAGCGGUCAAGAUUCAGCUCUCUCACCGCCGCGGACCGGUUCAUUUCUCUGUCAAGGAACCACACCAGUCGUCUGUCGGUUGUCAUCCUGUGGCAGCUGCCUGUUGCUGUGAUGCUGAAAGCUCUCCCACAGCCGUGAUGUCACGUCUCUGUUCGGUUUUGCUGGUGCGUGCCUGCAGGACCUUGGCAAGAGCUGCUCCUGCUGGGUGGGAUGCUGUGCCCAUCUUCCUCCGCCUGGGAAACUGCUACUUAUCCUUCAUCUCUCGGCUUAAACAUGGCUUGCUCAGGGCAGAGCCACCCCAUCUUCCUGGCUGGCUCUCAUAGUGCUGUAUCGCUCUCCUUUUUGACAUUUUCCACAGUUGUAUAUUGCCUUUCACAGGCUCUCUCUCCUUUUUCACAUCUCCUCCUCUGCCCCAAAUAAUCAGCCUUCAGAAGCAGCAGCAGCCCCAGGGUUGGCCUUUCCUGGAGUCACCAGGAAGCCUGGGGUCCACUGGCAGAGGCCACUGCAGGAGGUGUGGGUGGGGCGAGAGACGAGAAAGGGCAGUGAUCCUAAGGGAAAGGAUGCAGGUUGAGGGCAUGGGAACUGAGGCCAGAAAAGGACUUGAUUUUCUGCUUCUAGGAGAAGGGAAGGGAGAAAGACGGAGGUGAUGGGGUCCAGAAUAUGCCACUCUGGCAUAGGGAUUACUUUGUCCUGAAAGCCAUGGAGAAAAAGCAUACACAAGAAAACCUCUGCUCUCCCCUCUCUACCAGGAAGGGCAGGAUGAUUCUUAAUAAUCAGCAGAGAUAACUCUAGACACUUAUCAGCUCAGAGACAGCACCAAAAGAACCCACAUAAUAAACCUUACUGACUAGCCCUUAUCUCCCACAAUUUUCCUCACACAUUUGCCUUCCCAUGGUUUGCCGCCCCUACAAGCUCAAAGUCCCUUCCCUGGGUCUUGUUACUUCUCUACAAAUUUAUCGUUCUUUUGUUAAGAUGCGGUAUGCUACCCCAAGUUCUAACCAGCCCUUUGAGCUACUCAUCACUGAGCUCCCACGUAUAUGUGUGCCAUAUGUGUUAAUAAACUUCUGUUUGGUUUUCUCUUGUUUAUCUUUUGUCAGUCUAAUUUACAGGGCCCCAGCCAACGAACCUAAGAAGGGUAGAGGAAAAAGAUUUGUUCCCUCCUCUAGAGGAUAGAAGAGAAGAGAAUGAGAAUGUCUUAGGUCUGGGAUGUUGGAAGGAUCGUAAUUUGGAAAAGGAGAAAGGAUUAAUGGUACUGAGCCGGAUAUUUAGAAUUGAAAAGCCUGGUAAAGAACAGAUUGUAUUUGACAAAGGGCAAGCCAUGUUCUCAACAAACGCACAAUAUAGGCAGUCCAAAUCCAGCUUUCUUGUAUGAAAAAUAGUUCCACGAUGUGUGGGUUGUGAAGAAAGUGGAAUUAUGGAGUAAAUUGAAAUAUUCUGAUAUUUAAUGCUAAUUAGGAAUGAUGCCAGUUCAAGCUCGAUUGGGAUGUGCUCCUAAUAAAGGCCAAAACACCUAGAAAUGAAAGGCGGGCCCCUUUGCAGUAAGACAGCCAACUCAUAAAGGGCUGGUAUAUUUAUUAGGAAUCAGAAACAUAUGACAUGGAACAAACGAAUGAUGCAAUGUGAUGCAAAAUUCAAGGAGGUUUUUUGGAUUCAUUUUAGUUUAAUAAAAUUUUAUUAAGAAGCAUUGUGCUCCCGCUGAGAAUUGAAGUGCUUGGUUGGUAGAGCAAACGAAUUUGCAUACAACUGCCACACACAGUGGAUAAGUGUGUGCACUCGUACAUGUGUGGGAGGUCAGAAAGUGGUUCAGAAGAGGGAGUAAUCAUGCGUGUGGCCAGGUGUGAGGGCUAGAAGAGUUCAAAGAAGCAAUAAUGUUGCAUAACAAACCAUCCCAAACUUGGUGGCUUGCACUAACAAAUAUUUGUUUUUUCCACUCAGGGUGUGCAAGUCGGCAGGAGGGAGGGGUUCAGGUCUGCCCCAUGGGUUUCUCAUCCACGUUGGAUCAGUGGCUACCCCAGGACAUGUUCUCAUGGCAGAUGGCGAAGUCCAAGAGGACAAGUGGAAGCGUGCAAUGCCUCUAGGGCCUUGGCUUGGCACUGUCACUGUACCACCUCUGCCGACACAUCAUUGGCCAGAACAAGUCAACACGGCCAAGCCCCACAUCCCUGGAGUGGAGAAGUGUCCUCUGCCCAGUGUAGUGGGAGGUAGUGCAAAGUAACGCGGCAAAGGGGGUGGGUGCAUAGCUUUAGCCUGGGGAGGGAUGGAGAAUGGGAGCGAUAACACACACCUUCUAAGGAGGUGAUGCCUGAGCCGGGUUUGGAAGGACAAAUGCGAGUUAGCUGUGCAGUGAGAUAGGAAAACUCCAUUUUAUAAUAGGCCUGGCUCAGGCUGGAGCCAGUUACUGAAUUUCUGGGAGCCAGGUGUGACCAGGACCCCCUGCUCCUCUAGUUGAGACCUUAUUUCUUAAUCCUCCUCCACACAGUCCUCAAGGGGGUUGCUUGUAUGGCUUUUUGUUCCACCUGAACUUUGCAAAAGUGAACGGAGGAGAAAGGCCCUGUGAACCGUGACCCUUGGGGGGAGGUGAUUUGUGCUGUUGUGAAGCAUCUGCGUAUUCACAGGGCAGCUUGGGGGCCUUCCCGGUGAGUUAGACGUAAAGGGCCCUAUUUGCUAGAAUCUCUGGCCCUGCUGAAGAAUCUCAGUGUCUGCAGACGCUUCUUUCUUUUUUCCAGUUUUAUUGAGAGAUAAUUGACAUGUAACACUGUAUAAGUUUAAGGUGUACAACAUAAUGAUUUGAUAUAUAGAUGCUGCGAAAUGAUCCCCACAAUAAGUUUAGUUAACAUCCAUCACCUCACAGAAUUUUUUUUCUCGUGAUAAGGACUUUUAAGGUACAUUCAAAUAUACAUUUCAGUAUUGUUAACUAUCAUCACCAUGCUGUACGUGACAUCCCCAGGACUUAGUUACUUUAUAACUGGAAGUGUGUACCUUUCAAACACCUUCACCCAUUUCACUCACCCCCACCCCCGCCUCUGGCAACCUCCAACCAGUUCUCUGCCUUGUCGACCUUAACAAUAAAACAGCCAGUUAUUUUACCAGCAAAACGAGUUUAUUCAAGAAUAGCUGAAGAAUUGCAGUUUGGGAUGUGCGUGCUAUGGCGGACUGUAGGCAAAUCCAAGAAAUAAGGCAGAGGAAUGUUAUUUUAUAGAGAAAAAGGAGGAAAUUCGGAGGGGUUGUUUUGAAUGAAAGUCCAUUGGAGAAAAGCAAGAGUUUAUGGUGGUGCUGGAUUCUCAUAGACUGAGUUCCGAGGUAGUGAUUUCUGUUUGGGAUGCAAUGUGUAUUCUUUCUGCAAUUGACGAUUCUUUCCUGUUGAGACUUCUGUUUGGUCUGUAAUUGACUAUCUUUCCUGUAAUUGGCCUGAGUGGCACUACCCAGGACCUCUUCCUUCUGGCCUCCUGACUCCAUUUUUAAAUGAGGUUUCCCUUAUUAAUUUUCACAGUAUCUAUGAGCUUCAUUUUUGGUUUGUUUGUUUUAGAGUCCACAUGUAAGUAAGAUCAUCCUGUGUCUGUCUGUCUGACUUACUUCACUUAGCCUGGCUCUCUCUCUUUGCGGCCACGCUUCCCCUUAGCAACCGCACGCGUCUCCUGGUCCUCAGCAUGCCGAUCUGGUGCCUACCCUGUAGUUUUUGCACCAACUGUUCCCUCUGCCUGGAGUGUUCUCCCUUGUGUUGGCAGAACUGGAUUCUUCCUGUUAUUCAGAGCUCACUUUAAAUGUUUCUUCCUAGAAUGAUUUUCCUGAUCACCCAAGCAGAAGCAGUGCCCAGUUCCCAUCUCCCCUGGCUGUUUCUUUCUUUACCCAGCACUCUCACCAUCUCGUCUCUUUGCGUACAUGUGUGCUGCAUGGUUAUACGUUUGUUGCUGUGUCCACACACUGGAAUGCAGACACAUCAUCCGUAUCCCAGCAUGUGGUACGGUGCCCAUCACAUAAGGGCCGCUCAGUAGACAUCUUUCUAAUAACCAAAUAAUCUAAUGGGCUCCCAAUUCAAUAGCACUAUAUUUCUUUUUCGGCUUCUGGUACAAAAUCAUUACUCACAUAGAAUCACUUGUGCCAGGCUGUGGAGAAUCAUAUUCCAUAUUUUCAUUGUUCUUUCUUUACAUAUAACCUAUACAUUUAUUGCAAUUCUGAGCAAAAUUCCAAUAGAACUUGUCAGAGAGUUUCAAAAGCUGAUUCAAAAGUUCAUAUGGAGGACGUAGGAAUAGAAGAAUGCUGUAGAACGAGCUAAAAUAAUUUUGAGUAAGAAGAAUAGUAAUCUAAGAUAUGUGUACAAGAAUGUGUACCUAUAGCAUUGGAAACAUCUUAAGUGGGAUUGGGACUGAUUAAAUAAAUCAUGAAACAUCAGCACAAUGAAAUACUGUGCAAUCGUUAAGGAAAAAGAAAUCGCUCUCUAUUUGCUGAUGUGGAAAGGUCUCUAGAUGCUAAAUGAAUGAUAUGUGAAGUAUUAAUUUGUGGCAGACUAAGCAUUUGAGUCAUUGAAUGACCUGUGAGGUCCUCAUGCUGCUGAGAACAAAGACAGAGUUCUAAAAGGCUUGAGCCAGGUCUCUGCUCCCACUGAAGGUGCUAUGAGACAGACCACGUCUUUAUACCAAGAACAGCUGGAAGGCACUGAGUGAUGUGAGCGUGUGUGAGAACUGAACAUGAUUAGGCUUGUGUUUUGCAAAGAUCACUCUGGCUGACCUGUGGAUAAUAGAUUAGAGAGGAUUGUAGAAGGAUUAGAAACGGUGCAAAGAGACCAACUGCAGCAAUCCAGAAGAGAGAGGAUGGCGGCUUGCAACAUGGAGGUGGUGAUAAAGAUGGAGAGAAAUGAACGGAUUUGCCAAAUACUUAUGGGGUAAAAUGGACAGGACUGGUGAUGAGUCUGGGAGGUGCAUGAGAAGAAGAGUCAAGAAUGACUUCCAGGCACUGUCAGACGUGGUUCCUGCCUUCCGGGAAUCUACAGUGAUUAAACCAACACAAUAACAGCUGCACUUAGUCUUCUUAGGGCGUUUUUAGUAAGUGAGUGAUGACAUCUCCUGUCUUCACCAGGCCAGCCCCCUUGCAUCGUCUGUGCUCUCAUCUUCAUCUUGGAUUCUGCAUUAGCACCUAGCCAGCGCCUGGACGUGGUAAUCAAUGCAGGUUGUGGAAUGUGGCGGAGUGCCGGUCACCACGGCAUGCACUGAGUACUUAAAACCUUAUAGCCCGUUUGUAAAGUGGAGUGGAUUCAAUGCUGGAGGAGCCAAAUCACUCUUUUUUGGAACGGGAUCAGUAAAAGCAUAAGCAGUUAGCCGAAUGUGAGAUGUGGUGUAAUAACUGAUGAACUAAGUUAGAAAAAUUACAUAUUUUUUAAAGUCUAAAGAGCUUAGCAAACAUCAAUGUAAGGACUAAAGUUUACUGCUUCUGUUCCCUUGUACCUGUGGAGCCUCUGCUAGGAACACCCUCCUUCCUGGGGCCACAAAUACACGGAAAACUCCCGCUUACUUUUGUGAGACGAGGCUUAAACACCUCCACCUCUGAGAAGCUUCUCAUGAUCCAUCCAAACCAAGGGGACAUCAGCGAUGGCAUUUAUACAGACCCCUGCUUCCGCUGCUGCAUUCAAACUGGCUGGAACCUGCUUGUGUCUCCUGUCCCCACUGAGGGCAGGGCACCUGCUUCAUUCCUGUUGCAUCCCUCAUGACCAGAGGAGCAGACCGGCACCGAAGAGAGAAGGCCUCCCUGUGGGUACGUCCAGGGACACAUGGAGCCCAUGCCUCGCUGGGCCUUCACACCCCUCUCUCCUAUUGGCUUCCCCCAGCCCUUAUGUCUUGCACAGGUAGUGUUCAUGAAAGAGUUGUUGGUGAGUAAAUGAAAAAGUGAGUUGUCGUGAUGGAGGUACGGCCAGGGUAUUCUGGACGAGGGAGGAGGGGUCCCUGACGGCCUGGGCCCAGGGACUAAGGUAGGGGAGAGAUGAGAAAGCCCUUCUGGACGGGAUCUAAUAUGUAGGAUCAGGCAGGGGGUGAACAACGAAGCUCCCAGGCAGAGGAGACGGUGGAGAGACAGCUGGUGGAGGCCGCCAGCGGCCAGGGUCGCUGGGUGUGAUGUGUGAGGCAGGACACAACGGCAAGUGGGAAGCAAGAGAGGUCUUGAGUUCCACUCAGGAACCAGGACUUUCUCCUGCAGGCGAAGGUCUGAACAGUGAGCCAGAGAGUUGGGUUUACCUUGCAGAUGGCCCACCUCCUACUUUGUGGAGUGUGGAUGUGAAGUGGACAAGGCUGGAGGCAGGAAGAUCGUCCCCAGGAGGCUGUCCCAGGGAAGACGUAAGAGUUACAGGGGGCAGGCAACCUAGGGCAGAGGUAUUAGUAAUGGAGAGGUGACAGACAAGAGAAGCGUGCAGGAGGCAAACCGACUGCAUUUUGUAGACGUGGAGGGUGAGGGAGGGUGGCGGUCUCGGGUCCCCACCUGGAGCGUGACUUGGAUGACAGCUUGGGACCAUUAACUGAGAUGCGGAACAGAGCAAGAGCAGCAGGUGGCGAGGAGAAGAAGAACGCAUCCUGCAGUGCCUCUGGCAGACGUUCAGCAGGCGCUCCAGAAGGCGUGGCCGCAGACAGCGAUUCAAGAGUCCUCAGAGAAUCCCUGGCGUGUGGAAGCCUGAGGAGAUGUGAUCACCUGUGAGAGUGGACGGCAAGAAGGGCGGGUCCCUUCCCAAGCCUUCCCCACUCAAGACACCAGCGGUCUCGGUGCCCACGGAGCAGUCAGACGGAGCAGCUUUCAGCAGGAGCUGAGGUCUGGGGCCUGCGAGUGAAGGCUGCCCUUUGGAGAGCUCUGGAUAAGACAAAUUUGAAAAAGACUGGAUGAUAGACAGGGGAGGACAUGGGUUCUAGGAUGGGGGGUGGAAUUUGAGUGUAUUUAGAGGCCACAGGGAAGGGGUUUGUUUCACAGGGUGUGACAAGUGGAUCUAGGUCUGAACAAGCGUGACUGAGGGAGUUGGGGGCGCAGUAGGCAGGGGGACCCGGAGAGAGAGAGCCAGGGCGGGGACCGAACCUGCAGGUCCAAGGGCUGUAACACUGAAACAAACCCAAACCAUGAACAAAAAUGCCUGUGGUGUUCUUCAGACAACUGGGUGUUCUCCAAACAGCUCUGGGGACAUUUUUCAGGUAGAUUGAUCAUAUAGUUUAUUAGCAAACUGGGUCACUUGGGAGAAGCACGGGGCACUAUUAAUAAUUGUCAAGACAAUAGGCAUAAACAGGGAUUGUCCCUGGCCAACUAGGAUGGGUGGUCAUUUUAUUUUUAGAUCUCUAUUACCGUUUUUGUAAAGUAAUCAGGGGCAGGUUUCUAUUGCUUUGGUUAUAUAAAUGUCUUGAAAAACUUAAUUCCUAGACAAGUAUAGCUGCCAUCUGUAUCUGUGCAUUCUGCAUCCACGGAUUCAAGCAACCAUGGACCAAAGGCCUAAGAUGGUUGUGUCUGUACUGAACAUGUAUGGACUUUUUUCCUUGUCAUUAUUUCCUAAACAAUACAGUAUAACAACUACUUACAUAGCAUUUACGUUGUACCAGGUGUUAUAAUAAUCUAGAGAUGAUUUAACGUAUAUGGGAGGGCGUGCGUAGGUUAUAAGCAAAUACUGCACCAUUUUAUAUAAGAGACUUGAGCGUCCACAGAUUUUAGUACCCGUGGUGGUCCUGGAACCAAUCCCCCGAAGACACUGAGGAAGGACUGUGUUCCAGACUAUUUCACUGACUCCCUGCAGACCCUGGCCCCAACGUCACCCAACUCAACAGUCUUAAACACAAGCCUUUCUUUUCCAAGACUACUUCAUAUUUGAUGAUUCCCUGAGUGGUCAUCCCAGCCAAGCGUGUCCUUUCUUCUAUAACGAAAUUAGGAAUAUUGCCUUGAAAACAUUCUAAAUAGAAACAUAGACCUGCAAAGAGUUGGCCUUGUCUUCAAAGUCUCUCUGUGUGAAUAUGUGCAUUAUUUAUUAGAUUUUUGGUGACAUCUUCUUCACAGGGUACAAAAAUGUCCCGGGUAACAAGAGAAAAGGAUAGGAGAGAGGGGCCUGGGCAUAGAGGAGGACAGCAGAUCGGAGCGGGUGGAGCAGCACGGAAGGUCACGGGAUGGAGCGCUGUGGAAUCCAGAGUCCUUAGCAGGCCUCAGGUGUACCCCCUCCAGCCGGCGUCAGGGGCCUUCACCCACGGGAGCUGUGCAUUAGUAAAUGUGCCUCUUUCACCCUCCUGCCUUGUUCCUGUGGGCUCCCCGAAUUUGACUCUAUGGAGAGGUCCAUCCACGACAUCUACCUUGGCUUAUGAGGCAUUUUGUCCCCAUUAUGGGGCUGCUGAAGACUUCCUGGGCGUCUCUCAAUAGCAAAUGCCCCCAAAGUGCCUGAGGAGUCUUACAGGAACUCCGGCCGGCUAGGGUGCAGUGGUGAUAAUCAAUUGAGCUGUUGCUCGCAGUGCUGUCAUCAAUUUCUGUGUCUUCACUCUUUUGUUUGUUUCUAUCUUGCGUCGAGGGUUCCAUUGCAUUAACACGUGCACACGUAUUAGGGGGACAUGGUCUUUAGUGCGUAGCAUGUAACAGCCGGGAAAGAGCUUCGAAGGCCGGUAGGCAGCCUCGUUACAGAUGAAAGGGCAACCGUCCAGUUAUGUUGUAUGAUAACUGACGUGAACUAUUGACGUGUUAUCCAUUUUGGUGGCAGUUGGUGUCUUUCUUUUUUUAAGCAUGGAUGGG
This 13476-nucleotide long non-coding RNA is filed under the name Equus caballus (horse). RNAcentral's name for it is "lncRNA (ENSECAG00000045780.1)". The record is from RNAcentral. Lineage: Eukaryota; Metazoa; Chordata; Mammalia; Perissodactyla; Equidae.